RNAcentral lists this ribosomal RNA (292 nucleotides) under uncultured bacterium. RNAcentral describes it as "partial 16S ribosomal RNA". It matches the Rfam family "Bacterial small subunit ribosomal RNA", at positions 505 to 796 of the family's 1533-position model. The record is from RNAcentral.
GUUUCAGCAGCCGCGGUAAUACGUAGGGGGCGAGCGUUGUCCGGAAUCAUUGGGCGUAAAGAGCGUGUAGGCGGCUUGGCAAGUCUGACGUGAAAGCCCGCGGCUCAACCGCGGAUUGUCGUUGGAAACUGCCUCGCUAGAGUCCGGAAGAGGAGAGCGGAAUUCCUGGUGUAGCGGUGGAAUGCGCAGAUAUCAGGAAGAACACCCGUGGCGAAGGCGGCUCUCUGGGACGGUACUGACGCUGAGACGCGAAAGCGUGGGGAGCGAACAGGAUUAGAAACCCGGGUAGUCC